This 217-nucleotide ribosomal RNA is filed under the name uncultured bacterium. RNAcentral's name for it is "partial 16S ribosomal RNA". It matches the Rfam family "Bacterial small subunit ribosomal RNA", at positions 328 to 539 of the family's 1533-position model. The record is from RNAcentral.
ACGCUCGACACCUACGGGGGCAGCAGUGAGGAAUAUUGGUCAAUGGACGCAAGUCUGAACCAGCCAUGCCGCGUGCAGGAUGACGGCUCUAUGAGUUGUAAACUGCUUUUGUACGAGGGUAAACGCAGAUACGUGUAUCUGUCUGAAAGUAUCGUACGAAUAAGGAUCGGCUAACUCCGUGCCAACAGCCGCGGUAAUCUGAGCGGGCUGGCAAGGC